CGUAGGGUGCAAGCGUUAAUCGGAAUUACUGGGCGUAAAGCGUGCGCAGGCGGUUUCGUAAGUCUGUCGUGAAAUCCCCGGGCUCAACCUGGGAAUGGCGAUGGAGACUGCGAGGCUAGAGUUUGGCAGAGGGGGUAGAAUUCCACGUGUAGCAGUGGAAUGCGUAGAGAUGUGGAGGAACACCGAUGGCGAAGGCAGCCCCCUGGGUCAAAACUGACGCUCAUGCACGAAAGCGUGGGGAGCAAACAGGAUUAGAUACCCUGGUAGUCCACGCCCUAAACGAUGUCUACUAGUUGUUGGGUCUUAAUUGACUUAGUAACGCAGCUAACGCGUGAAGUAGACCGCCUGGGGAGUACGGUCGCAAGAUUAA
Molecule: ribosomal RNA, 370 nt
Filed under: uncultured organism
Description: bacterial SSU rRNA
Rfam family: Bacterial small subunit ribosomal RNA
Source: RNAcentral